GACGAACGCUGGCGGCGUGCUUAACACAUGCAAGUCGAACGGAAAGGCCCUGCUUGCCGGGUACUCGCGUGGCGAACGGGUGAGUAACACGUGGGUGUUCUGCCCUGCACUUCGGGAUAAGCCUGGGAAACUGGGUCUCAUACCGGAUAGGAGCCCUUUUUAGUGUGAUGGUUGGAAAGUUUUUUCGGUGUAGGGUGAGCUCGCGGCCUAUCAGCUUGUUGGUGGGGUAAUUGCCUACCAAGGCGGCGGCGGGUAGCCGGCCUGCGAGGGUGGACGGCCACAUUGGGACUGAGAUACGGCCCAGACUCCUACGGGAGGCAGGAGGGGGGAAUAUUGCACAAUGGGCGCAAGCCUGAUGCAGCGAAGCCGGGUGGGGGAUGACGGCCUUCGGGUUGGAAACUCCUUUCGCUAGGGACGAAGCUGUGUGUGACGGUACCGAGAGAAGAAGCACCGGCUAACUACGUG
Molecule: ribosomal RNA, 465 nt
Filed under: uncultured bacterium
Lineage: Bacteria
Description: partial 16S ribosomal RNA
Rfam family: Bacterial small subunit ribosomal RNA
Source: RNAcentral